UAGGGAAUCUUCCGCAAUGGGCGAAAGCCUGACGGAGCAACGCCGCGUGAGUGAUGAAGGUCUUCGGAUCGUAAAACUCUGUUAUUAGGGAAGAACAAAUGUGUAAGUAACUAUGCACGUCUUGACGGUACCUAAUCAGAAAGCCACGGCUAACUACGUGCCAGCAGCCGCGGUAAUACGUAGGUGGCAAGCGUUAUCCGGAAUUAUUGGGCGUAAAGCGCGCGUAGGCGGUUUUUUAAGUCUGAUGUGAAAGCCCACGGCUCAACCGUGGGGGGUCAUUGGAAACUGGAAAACUUGAGUGCAGAAGAGGAAAGUGGAAUUCCAUGUGUAGCGGUGAAAUGCGCAGAGAUAUGGAGGAACACCAGUGGCGAAGGCGACUUUCUGGUCUGUAACUGACGCUGAUGUGCGAAAGCGGGGGGAUCAAACAGG
RNAcentral lists this ribosomal RNA (429 nucleotides) under Actinomycetes bacterium. Its description in RNAcentral is "Actinobacteria bacterium partial 16S ribosomal RNA". It matches the Rfam family "Bacterial small subunit ribosomal RNA", at positions 355 to 776 of the family's 1533-position model. The record is from RNAcentral. Lineage: Bacteria; Bacillati; Actinomycetota; Actinomycetes.